GAUCGCAUAUUGGUACAGAUGUUGUAUAUAAAUAUUUAUGUUAGUAUUGAUAAUGUAUAUUGUUUUAUACUUAUUUGCAUGAAUCUCGGUUUUUAAAUAUUCCCGCUUCGAGGUGAGUAUGCGUUUGCGAGAGCGUCCGAGAGUGGUAAAAUACUACACGAGAGCCGAUCUGUCCAAGAUGGACGUGUAUGUCAACGUGCCAUAAAAAACCACCCGGACUUCAGACACAUAACACCUGAGAUGUGUGCCUACAGGAGGGGUUAUGGGUGCCAGACCACCCUGCUGCGCAUGCUGGAGGACUGGAAGAGGGCCUUGGAUGACCACCACCAUGUUGGUGCUAUACUAAUGGACCUUUCCAAGGCCUUCGACUGUCUUCCGCAUGACCUGUUCCUCAGGAAACUCUCUGCAUAUGGAGUAGGGGAGGGGGCUGUGCGCCUCCUCCAGAGCUACCUGGGGAACAGGAGCCAGAGGGUGAAGCUGGGGCCCAACACCAGUGAAUGGAGACUACUGAAGAAGGGGGUACCCCAGGGCUCCAUACUGGGACCACUGGUUUUUAAUAUAUUUAUUAAUGACAUAUUUUAUAAGAUUAAGGACUCUGUAUUGUACAAUUAUGCUGAUGAUAACACUUUAAGUUAUGAAAACAAGAAUGUUGAUGCGUAAAAGAAGGUCCUUGAAAGAGAGGCUAAAGUCCUGAUCGAUUGGUUUAAAUCUAACGGAAUGCAAGCCAACCCAGAUAUGUUUCAGGCAAUUUAUUUUGGAAAAAAUCAAAAUGAUUUAACAAAUUUUGAAAUUGAAGGAGUAAAAAUUGACUGUGAAGAAAAUGUAAAGCUACUUGGAGUAAAUAUAGAUUCAAAAUUAAAUUUUAACGAACACAUCUCAGAGCUAUGUAGAAAAGCCUCAAAACAGGUGGCGGUACUCAAGCGAAUUGGAAACUCUUUACCAAAAAAUGUAAAAAUGUUAAUUCUCAAAUCCUUUGUAAUGUCAAACUUUAAUUUUUGUCCUGUUAUUUGGCACUUUUGUAAUAAAUCUAGCACAAACAAGAUGGAAAAAAUCCAGGAGAGAGGACUACGUUUUGUACUAAAUGAUUAUAUCUCAGAUUACAAGGAUAUUUUAUCGAGCACAGACUCAUAUUAUUUACAUAUUACUCGCAUGAAACUCAUUGCUUGCGAAGUUUUUAAAAUUGUUAAUAAGUUAUCUCCUGACUACCUACAAGAAAUAAUAAAUAUAAAAUGUUCAUCUUAUUCAUUUAGGAAUGAAAAUACAGCACAGCUUCCAAGGGUCAACACCACCAGAUUUCCAUGAACGGGUUGGUAGGUGAGAGGAAUGUGAACGAGACAACUGGCGCGACACACAUUGGGUCAGUUCCACAAGGGCAGACAACUGGUGCUACACACAGUGGGUCAGUUUUACAAGGGCAGACAACUCAUAGUUGUACUGACGUCAUGCGUCAGUGAGGGAGCAGUCCUCAGGUCAUCUGCGGAACCGGAGGCCUGCAUUAUAGCACAUCGGUGCUAGACCGUUCUCAGCACAUCGGUGCUAAACCCUUCUGCGGUGGGGUAUAUAUCCAUGAUUAGCGGACGUGGAUUAUAUGGUGAAGCGGAACACAAGUUUGUGAGACUUGUUUAGUCCAUCGGAUCCUUUCCAUAUUGUAUUGGGUAUUGCCCACAUGGACAGUGGAACUAUUGGUAUACAAGCGGCAACUGUGACUCCACCAACCGGAGUAAUGACCUUUAGUGUUGAAUGUAUGAAUGUGUGUUUGUGAGUGUGAGUACAUACUUACGGGGGUUUUCUUCAAUAAUUAUUGUAAAUAAACUUGUAGAUAUUGUAUAACAAAUCGUUCUGUAUUCUUUCAGCUACCGACCGGUCGUCCAACGUUACAGUGGGGAUCUCAACCAUUUCCAAGUAAUACACCUUUUUUGGCCCUAGUCCUAAGCCCGGGGGUUCAGCCCCAAAAUUUCCAGUUAAAUAUGGUUGAUAUCCAUCUCUUAUAUCCAGAGAAGAAGUCACUUAAAGCAUUAUAGCCAAAUUGCCCCUUUUUGGCCCCGCCCAUCAGCCCUACUAUUUGUACAAUUUUAAAUCCCCAUCACCUAUCAUCCCCGCCAGUGUACAAUUUUGAAUCCCUGCCUCCCACGAAUGCUUUUGAUCAAAUAUGAUUGAUAUCCAGUGGAUAGUUCUAC
Mizuhopecten yessoensis (Yesso scallop) is the source of this 2177-nucleotide long non-coding RNA. RefSeq lists it as uncharacterized. The transcript has 3 exons. NCBI's taxonomy places the organism in Eukaryota, Metazoa, Mollusca, Bivalvia, Pectinida, Pectinidae. The record is from RefSeq and is a predicted model, not a curated record.